AUUGAACGCUGGCGGCAGGCCUAACACAUGCAAGUCGAGCGGCAGCGACUUAACUGAACCUUCGGAGAACGUUAAGGGCGGCGAGCGGCGGACGGGUGAGUAAUGCCUGGGAAUAUGCCCUGAUGUGGGGGAUAACUAUUGGAAACGAUAGCUAAUACCGCAUAAUCUCUUCGGAGCAAAGAGGGGGACCUUCGGGCCUCUCGCGUCAGGAUUAGCCCAGGUGGGAUUAGCUUGUUGGUGAGGUAAUGGCCCACCAAGGCAACGAUCCCUAGCUGGUCUGAGAGGAUGAUCAGCCACACUGGAACUGAGACACGGUCCAGACUCCUACGGGAGGCAGCAGUGGGGAAUAUUGCACAAUGGGGGAAACCCUGAUGCAGCCAUGCCGCGUGUGUGAAGAAGGCCUUCGGGUUGUAAAGCACUUUCAGUAGGGAGGAAGGUAGUGCAGUUAACACCUGCACUAUUUGACGUUACCUACAGAAGAAGCACCGGCUAACUCCGUGCCAGCAGCCGCGGUAAUACGGAGGGUGCGAGCGUUAAUCGGAAUUACUGGGCGUAAAGCGCAUGCAGGCGGCCUGUUAAGUCAGAUGUGAAAGCCCGGGGCUUAACCUCGGAAUUGCAUUUGAAACUGGCAGGCUAGAGUCUUGUAGAGGGGGGUAGAAUUUCAGGUGUAGCGGUGAAAUGCGUAGAGAUCUGAAGGAAUACCAGUGGCGAAGGCGGCCCCCUGGACAAAGACUGACGCUCAGAUGCGAAAGCGUGGGGAGCAAACAGG
This 769-nucleotide ribosomal RNA is filed under the name uncultured bacterium. RNAcentral describes it as "bacterial SSU rRNA". It matches the Rfam family "Bacterial small subunit ribosomal RNA", at positions 28 to 776 of the family's 1533-position model. The record is from RNAcentral.